CGCACGCACACAGUGUUUGCCCGUAGGCUUUGCGCUUUGCUUUAUACGCUUCCUCAGCACCAACUUCCUGGCCCGGCACAAAUGGAAAUGCUCCUUCCUGUGGCCUGUUGACCCCCCCAGGUCCAGCCUCCCAGGCUGACAAAGCAGACACUCCAACCCCAGCGCAGCCUGAAGCUGUCAGUCGUGCACACAAGGAGCCGAAGCUGCUGGAGCAGGAAGCGAGGCGGCGGGGCUGGCAUUGUCCGCCUCCUCCCAGGCAGGGGCAGCCUGUGGAGGUUCCUUGACCCCGGUGGCCCCGGGCUGACCCCCUGCCAGAGGAGAGGAGCCCGACUGCCAAGAAUGCAGUGGAAUCCCGCUGAGGCUGGAGCCACGGCCCGAGAAAAUGUGCGGAAUGCCAUUUGUUCAGACACACUGGCCUUUGCACAGAAAAGCUCUUUGGGCUUCAAAAAAGCAAUUACAAAAUCUCCCCGUCGAAGUUCAGCAGAAACACAGCAGCAGGACGGCUCGCGUGGCCCAUGGAGCCAUUCCCAGAGAACACUGUGCUGAAGGAAUGCCUUCCCCAGAUCUCCUCUUACCAUCUUUUCUUGAGUAUCGUUUUAUAAACAUGACGAUAAAUUCAAAAAUAUAAUUGUUACCAUGACCAGA
Molecule: non-coding RNA, 645 nt
Organism: Sus scrofa (pig)
Lineage: Eukaryota; Metazoa; Chordata; Mammalia; Artiodactyla; Suidae
Source: RefSeq, a predicted model, not a curated record